RNAcentral lists this unclassified non-coding RNA (378 nucleotides) under uncultured Thermoleophilia bacterium. Its description in RNAcentral is "contains 16S-23S intergenic spacer region". Lineage: Bacteria; Bacillati; Actinomycetota; Thermoleophilia. The record is from RNAcentral.
UCGCGGCUUAUCACCGGCAGUCCCCUUAGAGUGCCCAACUGAAUGAUGGCAACUAAGGGCGAGGGUUGCGCUCGUUGCGAGACUUAACCCAACAUCUCACGACACGAGCUGACGACAGCCAUGCACCACCUGUGCACCGGCCCCGAAGGGCUGCCGUAUUUCUACGACAUUCCAGUGCAUGUCGAGCCUUGGUAAGGUUCUUCGCGUCGCGUCGAAUUAAACCACAUGCUCCGCUGCUUGUGCGGGCCCCCGUCGAUUCCUUUGAGUUUUAGCCUUGCGGCCGUACUUCCCAGGCGGGGCACUUAAUGCGUUAGCUACGGCACGGAGCCCGUCGAUCGAACCCCACACCUAGUGCCCAACGUUUACGGCGUGGACUAC